GGACCCUUUCUGGAGGGCCGGCUUCGUCAGACCCCUGCAGCUUUCAGAGUCCCUGCGGCGACAAACUUUGGAGGCACAACCGAUGUCCGUCAACGGUUCCUUCAGGCAGCAGCACUGGGCGGGUUCAGUCAGUUUAUAGCCCAUCGAUAAAGCUUCUUCAAACCCCAUAUGGUCAUUUCUGAGAGUGUUUCAAGUUGCGAGGUGCAACUUCAACUGAUAACAAGGACGUUAUCUUCAGAAACCAGGACAAGGGCUCCAUGAGCUUCAUUUAACUUUCUUUUAUAGUCAUUUCAUUACUCAUCAUUAUGAGUUACUACAGACAAUAUGAAAGGUUCUCAUAGCAAGCACCAUCUAAUAGUGAGUAAACCUUCUCUCAUAGCUAAGCUAUUUGGUAUAUCAC
Ixodes scapularis (black-legged tick) is the source of this 400-nucleotide long non-coding RNA. RefSeq lists it as uncharacterized. The record is from RefSeq and is a predicted model, not a curated record. NCBI's taxonomy places the organism in Eukaryota, Metazoa, Arthropoda, Arachnida, Ixodida, Ixodidae. The transcript has 5 exons.